Molecule: transfer RNA, 68 nt
Filed under: Desmognathus fuscus (dusky salamander)
Lineage: Eukaryota; Metazoa; Chordata; Amphibia; Caudata; Plethodontidae
Description: tRNA-Asp
Source: RNAcentral
UAGAUGUUAGUAAAAUAAUUACUAAGCCUUGUCAUGACUUAAUUACUAGUUCAAUUCUUGUACAUCUA